This 468-nucleotide ribosomal RNA is filed under the name uncultured bacterium. Its description in RNAcentral is "partial 16S ribosomal RNA". It matches the Rfam family "Bacterial small subunit ribosomal RNA", at positions 28 to 507 of the family's 1533-position model. The record is from RNAcentral.
GACGAACGCUGGCGGCGUGCUUAACACAUGCAAGUCGAACGGAAAGGCCCUGCUUUUGUGGGGUGCUCGAGUGGCGAACGGGUGAGUAACACGUGAGUAACCUGCCCUUGACUUUGGGAUAACUUCAGGAAACUGGGGCUAAUACCGGAUAGGAGCUCCUGCUGCAUGGUGGGGGUUGGAAAGUUUCGGCGGUUGGGGAUGGACUCGCGGCUUAUCAGCUUGUUGGUGGGGUAGUGGCUUACCAAGGCUUUGACGGGUAGCCGGCCUGAGAGGGCGGCCGGCCACAUUGGGACUGAGAUACGGCCCAGACUCCUACGGGAGGCAGCAGUGGGGAAUAUUGCACAAUGGGCGGAAGCCUGAUGCAGCAACGCCGCGUGCGGGAUGACGGCCUUCGGGUUGUAAACCGCUUUCGCCUGUGACGAAGCGUGAGUGACGGUAAUGGGUAAAGAAGCACCGGCUAACUACGUG